CUGGCCAGCUGGCCAGUUCUCUGAGCCAAAGCCGCAUUGACGUUAGGGCUAUUAUCGAACGGUCUGUAUCGGUGUCGAUAUGCUCUAAGCGUACGUGAUAUAUGUUGAUGGCGCGAAGGGAAUAGUCAGCGUGAACCGUAUCAAGAAGUUCAAACCGGCGAGCGUUGGCGACUUCGACCCCGACGUGCCGAAAAGCGUCUACUGGAAGGCUGUUGGAGCGUGCGCCGGGGAAUGAGACACGAGGUCAGCUGGUUGCUGCUUUGAAAAAGAAGCAUGUGGCCAUCCCUAUGAUAUUGUACUCAAGAUACGAGUGGGUGGCAAGUACAAGAAAAAAGAAGACGGAGGAC
This is a long non-coding RNA of Ixodes scapularis (black-legged tick), 347 nucleotides long. RefSeq lists it as uncharacterized. The record is from RefSeq and is a predicted model, not a curated record. NCBI's taxonomy places the organism in Eukaryota, Metazoa, Arthropoda, Arachnida, Ixodida, Ixodidae. The transcript is spliced from 3 exons.